RNAcentral lists this unclassified non-coding RNA (240 nucleotides) under soil metagenome. Its description in RNAcentral is "partial contains 5.8S ribosomal RNA, internal transcribed spacer 2, and large subunit ribosomal RNA". The record is from RNAcentral.
AACUGAUACUACCUGCGGGAACCUGCGGAAGGAUCAUUACCGAGUUUACAACUCCCAAACCCAAUGUGAACGUUACCAAACUGUUGCCUCGGCGGGAUCUCUGCCCCGGGUGCGUCGCAGCCCCGGACCAAGGCGCCCGCCGGAGGACCAACCAAAAACUCUUUUGUAUACCCCCUCGCGGGUUUUUAUUAUCUGAGCCAUCUCGGCGCCUCUCGUAGGCGUUUCGAAAAUGAAUCAAAA